AGGGCCCGGGGCCGUACCUGGCGUCCAGGAAGCGGGAGCGCAGGAUCAUGACGGCCUCGCAGGUGCUCUGCUUCAGCUGCAUCUGGAUGGUGCUGAACUUGCCGUGGAUGAUGCUCACCAUGCGCUCGAUCUCCUUGGGGGAGAUGGGCCUGGUCCGGCUCUGCUCCCGCAGCAGGUUCAUCACGUGCGUGGUGAACUCGCUGCAGGCCUGGGGACACAGGGAUUUGUGGCGGCAGCCCCUGCACUCGCUGCCCCGGCGCCAGAGCCCCCCCAAAGCUCCAGAGGAGUCUCUUCAGCUGGAUUUUACUCUUUUACAAAACUCCACACAGGACACUGAACAGGGCUGGUUUCAUCCUGUGGCAGUUCAGGGCGUGUUUCCUGGGGGAAAAAAAGGAGGAAAAAUGAGCCCAAAUCCACGGACAAAAGCCAAGAAAACCUCGGGGAUGGCAGGGACACGCCCACCGGUGGACACGCCCUCUCCUGUGUCAGCAAGGGACACGCCCAGCACUGGCCGCGCCCCCGAUACCCACGCGGGACACGCCCACAUUCUCCGUCAGUCCCCGCCCACUGCCGAAGGGUCACGCCCAUCCCCGGGCAAAACCAUUUAUUCCAGGACUCUCUGGGACACAGAGGUGGGAAGGACAUUCCAAGGCUUCGAGUCAGUCCAGGAGACCUGUCACCUCCCCGCAGCCCCUGCCUGACUCUGCUCUGCAACAAAGAAACCCUCCAGAAAGUCGUGUUCUCCUCAAGUGGCCGCUCUGGGGGCUGAUCCUCGGACAAAACCAGGAUGUUUGAUUAAAGAAAACACCCUGAAAUUAUAAAUUUAGAUGAUAUUCCGGCGCCUCGUGGAAAACAACUCCCCCUGCAUUUCACACCGGCACAUCCACAGCGGCUGGAGUUUAACCAUGUGAAAGGGAAGGAAAGCUGGAGGAUUAUUCCCAGUUUCUGAGAAUAUCCUGGAUGUUCUCCCCUCCAGACACAGCCCCAGAACCGACACCGACCGUUCACAUCCCAGGAGAGGGGUUGCCAUUAACGAAGAUUCCCAGUUUCUCUGCAGGGAGAAGAACGGGCCUGGGGCAGAUUCGAGGCGUUGUUUGAGCGUUAAGGUACAAAAACUGCACGUUAAAAAUCCUGACUGCCUCGGAAUGUGACCUCGAGCUGCCCCAGAGGGAUUUCCAGGGAGCAGAGGGCUGGUUUAAUGGGAACAUGACUCACUCCACACCCGUGAGCACAUGGUAUCACUUAGCAGAGCACAAACACAACUGCAGCUCCUCAGCCCCUCUCCAGCUCAGCAAGGAAUUCCGUGCUCCCAAACAUCCUCCCGAAGCCUGGAACACUCCGAAAUCCAAUUAAAAAACCCACUUGGGAAAGCAGGGAUCUGCUUCUCAGGAAGCAAUUUGCAGGGAUUCCCCUCAGAGGAGGCUUAGAGGGAUAACCAGCUUUGGGAAGCAGGUGGGACACAGCCCGGGUCAGGCUCUGAGUGACAGGUGAACCCAGAGAGUUUUGGCUGCCCGGAGCUUGGGAAGGGCCUUUCCCGAGGGAUAAUACUGAAGGACCGAGGAAAUACUUUGCUUGCCGAGAGAAAUUCCCGUCCCGCACCUCCGGACGCCGCCACACCGACUCAACCCCUCGUUAAAAAGAGUCUUUAAUGAGAAUCCCCCUCCGAGGUCCGUGAAACCACCUCGUCCUUCAUCCUCAGCGAGUCUUCCCGGGGGAACCGUCCGUGCCGGAGCUUUUGGGAUGCCGGAGAGCCCGGCCCGGCCCACUGCGGAGCGGGACAGCCCCGGGACUCGGGGCUAGAUGGAGGAGUCGACGGUGAAGUGGCCGUUGUGCGAGAGGGUGCCGCGGUCGGCCGUGUUCAGCUUGACCACGGUGGGCGUGUACUUGGAGUUGCGGGGGCACGGGAAGCACAGGAUGCGGCGGAAGGUGCUCCUCAUCUCCGUGUCGCGGUACGAGUAGACGAUGGCGUUGAUGAGGGAGUUGAUCUCGGCCAGCAGCAGCACGUACUUCUCCACCGCCAGCACGUUGCAGCUCUUGCAGCCCAGCCCGUCCAGGAGCAGCACGACCUGCCCGGGGGUCCAGCAGAUCACAAAGGCACCUGGGAGAGAGGGCCGUGCUGGGAGCAAGACCUGACAAGCCUCCGGUGUGGAUUCCAGCAGGAAGAAUCCAUUCCCAAAGCUGCAGCUUCCCGGUCCCUGAGGAGCCGAGCACGAGCAGCAGGUAAAGCUCGUGGGAUGUUUGUGGACCCGGAGCCGAGCGGGAGUCGCGCGGUCCCGAUGGAAUGGGAGGGACGGAAGGAGCCUGCGGUGGCCUGGCAGGCUCGGCUGUUUGGGACACUCUAAUUCAAGUAUUGUUGGAAACACCUUAAAUUGGGGCCUGAAGGGAAACCUGAACCUGGGAUCUCGUCACCUUCGAUCGAUCGUGGGAUGAGAUGGAAAACCAGCUGAGGAUGUUGUUGGAAAGGGACGAAGCCAACACUCCGCUCCCCCUGCUUGUACUUGAGCCGGCGCAGGGGGUGCGUGAGGCUCCUCCGGGCGUGGUUGUCGAAAUCCUCGGCCAGGCGGAAAUUCCGGUCCAGGAUCUCGGCGGCCUCCUGCCAGUUCUGGAAGCACUUGGGGCCCAUCCUCUGGAUCUCCUCCACGGCGUUGGCCACCAGCACGUCCCCGCUGGGCUUCAGCACCACCACGGCCGGCACCUCGGACACGGCGAAGCGCAGCUCCAGCUCCCUGCCGGCAACGGGAACGGAAUGGGAGUGGGAAUGGGAGUGGGAGUGGGAGUGGGA
This is a long non-coding RNA of Pipra filicauda (Wire-tailed manakin), 2782 nucleotides long. RefSeq lists it as uncharacterized. The record is from RefSeq and is a predicted model, not a curated record. NCBI's taxonomy places the organism in Eukaryota, Metazoa, Chordata, Aves, Passeriformes, Pipridae. The transcript is spliced from 8 exons.